AAGAACUAAAUCUGCUGGCACCUUGAUCUUGGACUUGCCAGCCUCCAGAACUGAGAGAAAUAAUUGUCUAUUGUUUAAGCCGCCCAC
This is a non-coding RNA of Callorhinus ursinus (northern fur seal), 87 nucleotides long. NCBI's taxonomy places the organism in Eukaryota, Metazoa, Chordata, Mammalia, Carnivora, Otariidae. The record is from RefSeq and is a predicted model, not a curated record.